This 199-nucleotide long non-coding RNA is filed under the name Capsicum annuum. RNAcentral's name for it is "long non-coding RNA (CANN_LNC020257)". Lineage: Eukaryota; Viridiplantae; Streptophyta; Magnoliopsida; Solanales; Solanaceae. The record is from RNAcentral.
UUUGAUUUUGAAUGAUUUGAUUGUAAAAAAAAGGAUUUUAUCCUUAUAUUUUCCCAAAAGAGUGUGUUGGGUUUCUCAAGUUGGUUUCUAGUCGUUCAUAUAGCCCAUAACCAUCCAAUCUAGAUGAUCUACGCACACUUAAUUCUCCUUUCUAGGGGAUGAGAUACGUAGGCAGAACUUCUGGGUUCCGUGAUCUUUA